Molecule: ribosomal RNA, 241 nt
Filed under: uncultured bacterium
Lineage: Bacteria
Description: partial 16S ribosomal RNA
Rfam family: Bacterial small subunit ribosomal RNA
Source: RNAcentral
CCGGCACGGGUGAGUAACACGUAUCCAACCUGCCGUCUACUCUUGGCCAGCCUUCUGAAAGGGAAAGAUUAAUCCAGGAUGGCAUCAUGAGUUCACAUGUCCGCAUGAUUAAAGGUAUUUUCCGGUAGACGAUGGGGAUGCGUUCCAUUAGAUAGUAGGCGGGGUAACGGCCCACCUAGUCAACGAUGGAUAGGGGUUCUGAGAGGAAGGUCCCCCACAUUGGAACUGAGACACGGUCCAA